RNAcentral lists this microRNA precursor (95 nucleotides) under Marmota monax (woodchuck). The record is from RNAcentral. Lineage: Eukaryota; Metazoa; Chordata; Mammalia; Rodentia; Sciuridae.
AGUGGGAUAACUGGGUCCAAUGGUUCCAAGUUUUCUGAGGAGUCUUCAUACUGCUUUCCAGAAUGGUUGCACCAAUUUGCAGUCCCACCAGCAAU